CUUCAAACAACCAGGUGAGAUGAGUAUAAUCAUGUGAUGAGGGAACUGAAAUUGAGAGAUGUAAACACUUUACACGAAUCUUAUGGCAUGGGAGUGGCCCUGCUGGGACUUGAGAGAAUGUGUGUUCUGUCAGCAGCUAAGAGCACAGAUCUGGGUGCUGAUCAAGACCCCGAAGCAGGCCUGAGAAAACGCAGAACUGAGAAUGUAAACUUCACGAAGGAAAAUUUUGUUCACUGCUGUGUGCCUAGAAAGGACAGUUCCAGACACUGAGAGAAAGAUAAAUAAAUAUUUGUGGAGUGAAUGAAAAAUUGAAUGAAAAGAUGACUGCCAGACCUCUGAGCACGAGCUGUUCCUGACAUCGUUUCUGUCAAUUUCCUAGAGACCCAGGAUCCAGUCACGAGUCCCUCAUGGGGCUGGAUCAGGAGACAUCACCAUGCAUUUGUCAGAGUCCAUUAUGCCCCCUGCUGAAGAAGGCUGUGAUCUUCAGUCGACCUCUUUGUGUCCACUGUCCUCUUCACUUCCAGUGAACGUAUCCCGGAUGAUCCUCAGUCUGUCUUGCAAAUAGACUUGGACAUGUCCCUUCAGAUCGGCAGACAGGCCUGACUCCAGCAGUGUGUUGGGCUUGAGCUCAAAGCUGGGACACAAACGAUGCUUAUAUUGAGCUGAAAACAAUCACUCUGCAUUUAUUACCCCAAAGCCCUUCUUAUACUCCCCAGGACUACACAGAACAAGCAUAAUUCCCUUCUAACAUGUCCACCUAACAAGACUGAAGCCAGCUCUCUUUUCCUGCUCCCCUUAAAACUAUUUUCUAGGUAAAGCACGCUCAGGACUUUCUACCAUUCUUCAGAUGACACGUUUCAUGUUUUUUCAUCGUUUGGGCCCCUUUCCUCUUAAUAUGCUCUGGCCUGUCUGUGACCUUCUAAACAUGUGAGGUCAAAGAGACUAUCUGCCUGGCCAGGAAAGAUUGGAGUAGACUAUCACCUCUUUUAUUCUGCCUACUAUGCAUUUUGUGGUAGUAUAACACACGAUUCUUUAAUAUUGGAUUUACUGUUAAGCCAUAGCUCUACAAAUAACUGAGAAGAAGUUCAGAAUUGAGAAGUCAUUAUUUAAUAAUCAAAGAUGUGAUGAAAAAUAACCAUACUGAUUUUGUUCUUCACCCAAGAAGAGUGUCUGCCUCGUUGUUUAUUGGAGUCUUAAAUGAGAUGUCUCCAGUGAAGAUGGCUGGACUUUGGAGAGGUGCGGCAGCAGAGAUCCUUGGAGCAUCUGCCUGAAUUGACAAUGGAUAUAGAACAACCUACACAGACUUGCAGAACGUCUAUGUCCAAUCAUUGGGACCAUUAAAAAUACUUAGAGAGAGGAUCCUGUAAAAGAUUGAACAUCAUGUUCAAGUGGAAUGAGAGACUUUGGUUACUGUUAUUUGGGGAAGUAAAGGGAAGACCCGUGAACACUGGAGUCUUUGUAAUGUGCUUAAUAAAAGGACAGAAAAAAUGAUUCACCUCAGGAGUACAAAACAACCAUUUCCAAAAUUAUUAAUCUCACCAUUUAGUUUCAUUUGGCAACCUCAGAAUGCUCAAUGCAAUACUUGAGUUGUAGCAGGUGUUUCUGUAAGUGAGCUUUUUAUAGAAUCAUGAAAUAACAAUGCUUUACUCCCUUAAUGGGUUCAAGUUCUGGGUGGAGAUAACGAGUCGAUGUUUGAUAGUUACCAGGGCCAAGUGCAGAUCAAGAAUUGCCUUAAAAAAUACAAUUCAGUAGGAAAAAGGAAAUGUUUAAUUUUCAAAUGUCUUUUAAAUUGGAAAAUAAGCUUUUCAGUUAAAAGAAAUAUAAGCACUUUGGUGAAUCCUACAGCAAUUUUUGGUACUAAUCCUUUCUUAUUGUAGACAUUUUCAAGCAUUAGUGCCGAAUGUUUCCAUUCUUCAGGCUGCACUAAUGAAGACUUCUAGGUAAGAGUCUUAGAGCACUGUGGGUUUAUGAGUAAGAAACAAUGAAAAAAAAGAAAACUCAAAAUAGUGGUUUUCAAUUUUAUUUUAAAUUAAAUGAAUUGUUUUUAAUUAAGUGACUUUUAGAACCAGUAGUCUCCUUUUUAAUCUGAUUUCCAAGGUAUUCAUGUUAAUUGAACCAGGUCAUUAUUUUCAAAUGUUUCUUAAAAAUUACUUUUUCUCAUAGAACAGAUGAAUAUUUUUUCUAAAAUGAUAAUAUAAUUU
Long non-coding RNA from Equus caballus (horse), 2201 nucleotides. Lineage: Eukaryota; Metazoa; Chordata; Mammalia; Perissodactyla; Equidae. The record is from Ensembl.